CAAAUACUCCCUCCGUCCGAAAAUACUUGUCCUAAAAAUAGAUAUAAUGAAUAUACCUAUAAAUAAAAUAAGUCUAGAUACAUUCAUCUCUAGGACUAGUAUUUUCGGACAGAGGGAGUACAUU
Non-coding RNA from Hordeum vulgare subsp. vulgare (domesticated barley), 124 nucleotides. Lineage: Eukaryota; Viridiplantae; Streptophyta; Magnoliopsida; Poales; Poaceae. The record is from Rfam.